GGCGCUGUGGCUCAAGUGGUAGAGCGUCAGCCUUGUGCUGAAGAGCUGAGGGACAGCGCCU
This 61-nucleotide transfer RNA is filed under the name Dipodomys ordii (Ord's kangaroo rat). Lineage: Eukaryota; Metazoa; Chordata; Mammalia; Rodentia; Heteromyidae. The record is from Rfam by way of RNAcentral.